AUUGAGAUGGCUGAUAAAAGUAAUAAACUGUAAAUUUAUAAAUGAAUAUAAUAAUUCUCUCAACA
This 65-nucleotide transfer RNA is filed under the name Oncotympana maculaticollis. Its description in RNAcentral is "tRNA-Tyr". It matches the Rfam family "tRNA". Rfam says of the family: Transfer RNA (tRNA) molecules are approximately 80 nucleotides in length. Their secondary structure includes four short double-helical elements and three loops (D, anti-codon, and T loops). Further hydrogen bonds mediate the characteristic L-shaped molecular structure. tRNAs have two regions of fundamental functional importance: the anti-codon, which is responsible for specific mRNA codon recognition, and the 3' end, to which the tRNAs corresponding amino acid is attached (by aminoacyl-tRNA synthetases). tRNAs cope with the degeneracy of the genetic code in two manners: having more than one tRNA (with a specific anti-codon) for a particular amino acid; and 'wobble' base-pairing, i.e. permitting non-standard base-pairing at the 3rd anti-codon position. RNAcentral also lists the same sequence under 1 other name. The record is from RNAcentral. Lineage: Eukaryota; Metazoa; Arthropoda; Insecta; Hemiptera; Cicadidae.